CAUGGCUCAGAUUGAACGCUGGCGGUAGGUUUUAAACAUGCAAGUCGAGCGGUAACAGACAUUUUGAUUCAGCUUGCUGAAUCUCGUGCUGACGAGCGGCGAACGGGUGAGUAACGCGUAGGAAUCUACCCAGUAGCGGGGGAUAGCCCGAGGAAACUCGGAUUAAUACCGCAUACGCCCUUCGGGGGAAAGGGGGCAUCUUUGAUGCUCUCACUAUUGGAUGAGCCUGCGUAAGAUUAGCUUGUUGGUAGGGUAAAGGCCUACCARGGCUACGAUCUUUAGCUGGUCUGAGAGGACGAUCAGCCACAUUGGGACUGAGACACGGCCCAGACGUCUACGGACGGCAGCAGUUAAGAAUAUUGGACAAUGGGGGAAACCCUGAUCCAGCCAUACCGCGUGUGUGAAGAAGGCCUUAGGGUUGUAAAGCACUUUAAGCAAUGAAKAAGAAAGAUAAGUUAAUACCUUGUUUUUUUGACAUUAGUUGCAGAAUAAGUACCGGCUAACUCCGUGCCAGCAGCCGCGGUAAUACGGAGGGUACAAGCGUUAAUCGGAAUUACUGGGCGUAAAGCGCGCGUAGGCGGUUAAGUAAGUUGGAUGUGAAAGCCCCGGGCUCAACCUGGGAACUGCAUUCAAAACUACUUAGCUAGAGUACGAGAGAGGAGAGUAGAAUUUCUGGUGUAGCGGUGAAAUGCGUAGAUAUCAGAAGGAAUACCGAUGGCGAAGGCAGCUCUCUGGCUCGUCACUGACGCUAAGGUGCGAAAGCGUGGGUAGCAAACAGGAUUAGAUACCCUGGUAGUCCACGCCGUAAACGAUGAGAACUAGCCGUNGG
Molecule: ribosomal RNA, 829 nt
Filed under: uncultured SAR156 cluster gamma proteobacterium
Lineage: Bacteria; Pseudomonadati; Pseudomonadota; Gammaproteobacteria
Description: SSU rRNA
Rfam family: Bacterial small subunit ribosomal RNA
Source: RNAcentral